Long non-coding RNA from Bos taurus (domestic cattle), 1341 nucleotides. The record is from Ensembl. Lineage: Eukaryota; Metazoa; Chordata; Mammalia; Artiodactyla; Bovidae.
UGUGGGGAGGAGUUGGAGACAUUUGGGUUACAUGUACUUUCCCAAGUCUGCAGUAAUCAGAAAAAAAAUUUUUUUGGAAAAAGUGUGAAAAAACAUGACACAAGAAGCCAGGGUGACAAGCAUGUAAAGAUCCCAGGGUGGUAGGCCUGUGCUAAGAUGAUGCUUGAGUUGGGAACUGGAGAGUGAGUGGGGUGGGAGAUGUUUCCCCGGGCAGAGUCACGUCAGCCCCAGUGGAGACAGGACCAGGGAGGGUCUAUGCAGGGAAGAGGGGUCCAUGUGAGCAGAGCCUGUGGCAGUUGAAAAUGGACAGCCAGGUGUGUCUGAGAGCAGGAAAUCCUUGGGACCUCAUUUAAAAGUUGCAGCUGUGUGUGGGAAGGUUGCUUCCACCUGUCUUUAAGCCUGGCGCCAGCUGGCAGAAGCUUCCUUGAAGAUCUCGGACCCUCUCCAGCUUUCUGGAGUUUAACUGAGGAAGGGCCCUGGCUGGUGUGCCCUGAAAUUCAUGUCUGGGUUUGUGCACAAGGCCACACUUCUUGUCUGCCUGCUCCCAGCUAACCACUGGUGGAGACACGGGUAUUAAGGCAGGCAGAGCACGGAGUUCACAGGAAGGCGCUUACUCGAAGCUCGCGGAGUUCUCGCUGUUGAUUAGUUGGGGACGUCCUAGAAAGAAAGGGCAGUAGGCGAUCGCGAGGCGCUGCGCGCGGGGCGAGGGGUAGUCGCGGCUGCCGGAGGCUGAGCGCCCGCGCGUGGACGAAGUGACCCCGGCAACUUCUCCAACUCGGCCGGCGCCGCCCCGCGCGCACACGGGACCCCGGGGGAACGGCCGUGUCGCCGAUCGGGGGCCCGGGCGGCUGUCGGGCUCUCCACCCAGUUUGGAAAGAAAAGAGGCCAUUCUUCCAACAAUUGACGGCCGGGCCGCCGCCGCAAAGGGCCUGUUAACUUGCAGUUAUCUCUUGAAGAUAGUCGCUCUCCACGUGACCGUCAGGCAACUGGAUGAAGGUCAUCUCUUCGUCUAGAAGCCAAAAUCCAGUGAUGGCUCUAAGACAACGAUGCUUAAUCAGUUUCUGUUGCCUUAGCAACAAGUGGGCUGGGAUGCUUGGUAGCGUCUUCUCAUGAGCCACCCCUGUGGGCUUCCGUAGCAUCUGCCCCUCUGGACCAUGAUCGUCUCCACACUGAGUGGUGGCUGGUGGCCUGUUUGUUCACAGGCUGGUGAGACUGUCUGUAGGCUUUCGAUCACCAUCGUACUCCCGACACUUAGCGUGGUACCUCGAACACAAGUGCUGUUCAUCAGAUACUUCCUGAAUUGAGUUAACUUAAUAAAGGUCCUGCACAUAGGCAUUCAAG